Molecule: ribosomal RNA, 249 nt
Filed under: uncultured Chroococcidiopsis sp.
Lineage: Bacteria; Bacillati; Cyanobacteriota; Cyanophyceae; Chroococcidiopsidales; Chroococcidiopsidaceae
Description: partial 16S ribosomal RNA
Rfam family: Bacterial small subunit ribosomal RNA
Source: RNAcentral
CUAGCUGUAAACGAUGGAUGCUAGGCGUUGAGAGUAUCGACCCUCUCAGUGUCGUAGCUAACGCGUUAAGUAUCCCGCCUGGGGAGUACGCGCGCAAGCGUGAAACUCAAAGGAAUUGACGGGGGCCCGCACAAGCGGUGGAGUAUGUGGUUUAAUUCGAUGCAACGCGAAGAACCUUACCAGGGCUUGACAUGUCCGGAACCCUGCCCAAGGCGGGGGUGCCUACGGGAACCGGAACACAGGUGGUGC